Molecule: long non-coding RNA, 1640 nt
Organism: Papaver somniferum (opium poppy)
Lineage: Eukaryota; Viridiplantae; Streptophyta; Magnoliopsida; Ranunculales; Papaveraceae
Exons: 7
Source: RefSeq, a predicted model, not a curated record
UUCCAAUUCCAAUCUUUUUAGAGAACGAAGACACGAAAAAUCUUACGUUUCCUUCGUCUCUACAUUCACUGUUCCACAUAAAUCACCUUUCCUCCAUCUUUCUCUUUAUUCGAUUCCAAUUCAAAAUUUAUUGUGGCUGGCAACUUCUGUGAAAUCUCCUCCUCCAUAUCUUGCGCAUGAUCUUUUCCGCAUCUACUUAUCUCUUAGAUGAUUAUUCUUUGUAAUAUAUCAGGUGAAACAUGGGUUAAAACGUAGCUUUUGAAAUGCGAUUUGAUGUUUCUGAUGGACACUCAUAUAAGAAAUUAGGAUGGAUAUAUACAACAAAGAGUCAUGUGCAUAUAUAAUGAUGGAUAUAUACAACAAGAUAGGCAGUGGUUACUUACUAUGGAGGAUAAGUGACUAAGCAGUAUUAGUAGCUGUAUGCGUGACAUAAACAAGGGUACAUUUGUGGUUAACUGUUUUACAUAUACACUUGACGUUCGAGGUCGAGUCGGUAUCAGCAUCUCAUGUUUUUACUCCGGUAUCAGCAUCUCCUCCCAGAGUCGGUUAGCACAACAAUAGUCUACGGGAUCACGUAGAAGCACUCCCGUUAGUGGGAGUUAGAAAUCAGGUGCCAAGGGAUUAGCCUAUCUCUUCCCAAAGUAGCCAGCAAAAUAAGCAGGAACCAACAUAGGGAGGGGUGGUCUUGGAAAUCCUAAGCGGCGGAACUUGAGGAAUCAAUUUAUUUGCUAGACGACUGCGGACUGCCCACAUGAGGGGUUUUUCUUACGAUUCACAUAUGUAAGAAAAAUCUGAUUUUUAUUUAUCAAGCCCGAGUUACGUUGUUGCAUAAGAAUUCGUGUUAGGGCAGCAGGAGAUGCUCCAAUACUUCAAAAGCAUGUAUUAUUAUUAUCAUUCAAGAUACGAAUUGCUAUCCGAAACUUUUCAAGAAUCUGGGAUUUUAGUUGUUGACAGUUUUCAAGCAGUUAAUGUUAAUUUUAUUAAAUUCAGGCCACUGAUGGUGUUGCAGUGUGUUGAAGUACAUACUGAUGGCAGCUGUUGUGGUAUUAUGGUAUUGUAGUGUGUUUAAGUUUAGCGUGUAGGGGGAGAAGACAAAUGGUUGAGUGAGAAGAUGGAUAGCCUCGGGUGGAUCUCUAGGAUGAAUGUCAAGAGAAAGCGACAUCCAAACCAUGGGAACCGUCUUAUCCUAUAAAAGUGUCAUCGAUCUAUGGGACGUCGUCUUUUUCUUCGUGUUGCGUGGACAGUUCUAAUGAGUUGCUAACUAAGUGCCUUUUAGGACUUCAACGGAAAUGGGGUCAUAUUUUAAAGGGUUUUGUUGGAUGCACAAGAUAACACCCGAUCAUUACAUUGGGAAAGUGCAAAACCAAUUUAAAAAAUAAGAGAGAUAAUGUUUUCUAGUACCGAAGAUCGUAAAACUUCACUCCUAAUAAAUGCAUGUUUAAUAAAUCUAUGUUAAUUUGCAUUUCCAAUGCUAGAAAAGAAUAUCUCUCUUAUUUUUUUUAAUUGUUUUGCACUUUCCCGAUGCCAUGAUUGUGUGUUAUCUUGUGCAUGGCUGCACAAGAUAAAAAUGGCUUCCUAGAACAACAUAGCAUUUGUUUUCUUUUGAUAUUGCAAUAAAUCCAACUGUUUCACGAACAAAA